UAAGUGAAAUCAUAAUUAACGAGCAAUGGGCACGCUUGGUCGUGUCGAAAGAUUCGUUGAUGGUAUCCGCUGUUGUCAGUACGAAGUAGAAAGAGUAGGAUGUGGUAUCGUACAACGUUAUGGUAUUUCUCGUGGCUACGAUUUCAUGAGAAAAUUGUUGUAAUAAUGAAUGAAUUUUGUUGAGGGACAUGCAGUAUACUGUAUCACGCGAGUGUAGGACAAGUUAACCUAAAGCAGUGUCUGUGGCUUUGUCGAAAGUGAAGUGUAAAAGUGCGCGGGACUCGCAUUGAGAGCGAGUACCAAGAAGUUUUAGUGUCGUGGGAUAUGCACACACAUGUCAAGAUGUCGUCAGGAGGACAUAGCAGUCGUACUCGAGCCGUACACAUAGGUUCAAUAUUCCAGAAACUUCACGGUCGGUUUGCUGAUCCUAUGACACUGCCGAAACUUUCGACCGACAAGCGAAUGCUUGAUAAGACCUGGAAGCUUAUGGACAAAGUAGUUAAAUUAUGUCAACAUCAAAGGAUGAAUUUAAAAAAUUCACCACCAUUCAUCCUGGACAUUCUACCAGAUACGUAUCAACGAUUGAGACUGAUAUAUAGCAAAUAUGAAGAUAGGAUGCAAGUGUUACAUAGUAACGAACAUUUUUGUGUUUUCAUUAAUAAUCUUAUGAGAAAGUGCAAGCAAGCAAUUAAGUUAUUCAAAGAAGGCAAAGAAAAGAUGUUUGAUGAGACUUCACAUUAUCGUAGAAAUUUGACUAAACUCAGCCUUGUAUUUAGUCACAUGUUGUCCGAAUUGAAGGCUAUUUUUCCAAACGGAGUAUUUGCCGGACAUAAAUUCCGUAUUACUAAGGCAGAUGCAGCUGAAUUCUGGAAAGAAAGUUUUGGAAUCAGUACAUUGGUUCCAUGGAAAGUAUUCAAAGAUAAGUUGAACGAAGUUCAUCCAAUAAGUUCUGGAUUACAAGCCAUGGCAUUAAAAUCUACGAUAGAUCUCACAUGCAAUGAUUAUAUUUCUAAUUUUGAAUUUGAUGUAUUUACAAGGUUAUUCCAACCAUGGUCUACACUUCUCCGUAAUUGGAAAAUUCUAGCUGUAACACAUCCUGGAUAUGUAGCUUUUCUAACUUAUGAUGAAGUGAAAGCACGUUUACAAAAAUAUUGUAGUACUAGACCUGGAAGUUAUGUAUUCAGAUUAAGUUGUACAAGGUUAGGACAAUGGGCUAUUGGUUAUGUCACAUCAGAUGGCGAUAUCCUUCAAACAAUACCUCACAAUAAAAGUCUUUGUCAAGCAUUGCUAGAUGGAUAUAGAGAAGGAUUUUACUUAUAUCCUGAUGGUCGUAAUAUAAAUCCAGACUUAACAUGGGCAGUUCAACCUACUCCUGAAGAACAUAUAAAAGUAACAGCAGAACAAUAUGAAUUAUAUUGUGAAAUGGGUAGUACAUUCCAAUUAUGUAAAAUUUGUGCAGAAAAUGACAAAGAUGUGAGGAUAGAACCUUGUGGACAUCUUCUUUGUACUCCAUGUCUUACUGCUUGGCAGGAUUCUGAAGGACAGGGUUGUCCGUUUUGUCGAGCUGAAAUUAAAGGAACUGAACAAAUAGUAAUUGAUCCAUUUGAUCCACGAAGAACACAUCGACCAGGAACGCAAUCGGCAUCUGCUAGUAAUGCAUCGACUCCUACGCGGGACCUUGACCCGGACACCGAGCCGAAGGAAACAUAUUUUGAUUCGUUUAAUGCAGGAAAUCAUGGAUUUAUGUAACGGACAUUGUGGACUAAUGUGUUACGACUCAGACGAAGAAGAAGAUUCUAGUCCAACAAAUUCACCAAUUUCGACGCGAAGAAUUGUACCAAGUCCACCACUACCUCCUCGACGACCUUCUCCAUCACCCACGCCGAAUAGUCAUUCGAGAAAUGGUCGUCAUUUGACUGUUCCGAAAGAGAAUGCUCCACCACCGCCGUUAUCAACAAUUAAUACAGCAUUCAAUUCUAAUACCGAUAAUCAACAAAACAAUAAUAUAAAUUCUGAAGCAGGAUACGAUAUGCUACAUCGAGCCUCUUCACCUUCUCCAGUGCCAUUGAUACCUCCACUUACAAUGGCCAGAACUCAUAUUCGUCGAUCACAAGGAAAUCACUUAAUCACAUCACAACUACAACCACCACCAACAUUACCUGAAAAGCCGAGCCGUGCCAGCGGAUCUUCGACAACGAUCUCUCAAAUUACAUCUAGCAAUAAUGUGCCACCAGUUCCGCCUCCAUUAUCAGUACCACGACCACC
This 2265-nucleotide unclassified non-coding RNA is filed under the name Apis dorsata (giant honeybee). Its description in RNAcentral is "e3 ubiquitin-protein ligase CBL, transcript variant X1". The record is from RNAcentral. Lineage: Eukaryota; Metazoa; Arthropoda; Insecta; Hymenoptera; Apidae.